AUACCUUGAACCUAUGAGUAAGGAAAAAUAACAAGUGGUGUGACACCUGAAUUCUCACCGCUAAUGUGAAACAAAUUUUGAAGCAGAUAAAGUUUGCCCCUAAAGUGACUCACCUACUUUGUAGGAUGCCUGGGUUUAGCAGUCUGCCCA
Molecule: small nuclear RNA, 150 nt
Filed under: Castor canadensis (American beaver)
Lineage: Eukaryota; Metazoa; Chordata; Mammalia; Rodentia; Castoridae
Description: U12 minor spliceosomal RNA (ENSCCNG00000003233.1)
Rfam family: U12 minor spliceosomal RNA
About the family: Although the U12 sequence is very divergent from that of U2, the two are functionally analogous.
Source: Rfam by way of RNAcentral